RNAcentral lists this ribosomal RNA (141 nucleotides) under uncultured bacterium. RNAcentral describes it as "partial 16S ribosomal RNA". It matches the Rfam family "Bacterial small subunit ribosomal RNA", at positions 355 to 509 of the family's 1533-position model. The record is from RNAcentral.
UGGGGAAUAUUGCACAAUGGGGGGAAACCCUGAUGCAGCAACGCCGCGUGAAGGAAGACGGUUUUCGGAUUGUAAACUUCUUUUCUUAGUGAAGAAGCAAGUGACGGUAGCUAAGGAAUAAGCAUCGGCUAACUACGUGCC